This 253-nucleotide ribosomal RNA is filed under the name uncultured bacterium. Its description in RNAcentral is "partial 16S ribosomal RNA". It matches the Rfam family "Bacterial small subunit ribosomal RNA", at positions 524 to 776 of the family's 1533-position model. The record is from RNAcentral.
GACGAAGGAUGCAAGCGUUAUCCGGAUUCAUUGGGCUUAAAGGGAGCGUAGGCGGAUUGGUAAGUCAGUGGUGAAAUCUGUGGGCUUAACCCACAAACUGCCAUUGAUACUGCUGAUCUAGAGUACAGUUGCCGUUGGCGGAAUAUGACAUGUAGUGGUGAAAUACUUAGAUAUGUCAUAGAACACCGAUUGCGAAGGCAGCUAACGAAGCUGUAACUGACGCUGAGGCUCGAAAGUGCGGGGAUCAAACAGG